This 600-nucleotide ribosomal RNA is filed under the name uncultured bacterium. RNAcentral's name for it is "bacterial SSU rRNA". It matches the Rfam family "Bacterial small subunit ribosomal RNA", at positions 105 to 712 of the family's 1533-position model. The record is from RNAcentral.
GGUAGUUAACACGUUAGUAACCUGCCUUAUUGGGAUAACUUCAGGAAACUGGGGCUAAUACCGGAUAGAGCUCCUGCUGCAUGGUGGGGGUUGGAAAGUUUCGGCGGUUGGGGAUGGACUCGCGGCUUAUCAGCUUGUUGGUGGGGUAGUGGCUUACCAAGGCUUUGACGGGUAGCCGGCCUGAAGGGUGACCGGCCACAUUGGGACUGAGAUACGGCCCAACUCCUACGGGAGGCAGCAGUGGGGAAUAUUGCACAAUGGGCGGAAGCCUGAUGCAGCAACGCCGCGUGCGGGAUGACGGCCUUCGGGUUGUAAACCGCUUUCGCCUGUGACGAAGCGUGAGUGACGGUAAUGGGUAAAGAAGCACCGGCUAACUACGUGCCAGCAGCCGCGGUGAUACGUAGGUGCGAGCGUUGUCCGGAUUUAUUGGGCGUAAAGGGCUCGUAGGUGGUUGAUCGCGUCGGAAGUGUAUCUUGGGGCUUAACCCUACGUGCUUUCGAUACGGGGUUUGACUUGAAGGGAAGGGUAGGGGGGAGAAAUUGGAAUUCCUGGUGGAGCGGGUGGGAAAUGCGCCAGAAUUUUCAGGAAGGGAAACACCAG